RNAcentral lists this ribosomal RNA (391 nucleotides) under uncultured bacterium. RNAcentral's name for it is "bacterial SSU rRNA". It matches the Rfam family "Bacterial small subunit ribosomal RNA", at positions 28 to 417 of the family's 1533-position model. The record is from RNAcentral.
AUUGAACGCUGGCGGCAUGCUUUACACAUGCAAGUCGAGCGGCAGCGCGGGGGGCAACCCUGGCGGCGAGCGGCGAACGGGUGAGGAAUACAUCGGAACGUACCCCGGAGUGGGGGGAUAACGCCGCGAAAGCGGCGCUAAUACCGCAUAUGCUCUGAGGAGGAAAGUGGGGGACCUGCAAGGGCCUCACGCUCUGGGAGCGGCCGAUGUCCGAUUAGCUAGUUGGUGGGGUAAAGGCCCACCAAGGCGACGAUCGGUAGCUGGUCUGAGAGGAUGAUCAGCCACACUGGGACUGAGACACGGCCCAGACUCCUACGGGAGGCAGCAGUGGGGAAUUUUGGACAAUGGGGGCAACCCUGAUCCAGCCAUGCCGCGUGCGGGAAGAAGGCCU